Molecule: ribosomal RNA, 17 nt
Filed under: Tuber sinoaestivum
Lineage: Eukaryota; Fungi; Ascomycota; Pezizomycetes; Pezizales; Tuberaceae
Description: partial 28S ribosomal RNA
Source: RNAcentral
AGGUUUGACCUCGGAUC